AGAGUUUGAUCCUGGCUCAGGAUGAACGCUAGCGGCAGGCUUAACACAUGCAAGUCGAGGGGCAGCAUAAUGGAUAGCAAUAUCUAUGGUGGCGACCGGCGCACGGGUGCGUAACGCGUAUGCAACCUACCUUUAACAGGGGGAUAACACUGAGAAAUUGGUACUAAUACCCCAUAAUAUCAUAGAAGGCAUCUUUUAUGGUUGAAAAUUCCGAUGGUUAGAGAUGGGCAUGCGUUGUAUUAGCUAGUUGGUGGGGUAACGGCUCACCAAGGCGACGAUACAUAGGGGGACUGAGAGGUUAACCCCCCACACUGGUACUGAGACACGGACCAGACUCCUACGGGAGGCAGCAGUGAGGAAUAUUGGUCAAUGGACGCAAGUCUGAACCAGCCAUGCCGCGUGCAGGAUGACGGCUCUAUGAGUUGUAAACUGCUUUUGUACGAGGGUAAACGCAGAUACGUGUAUCUGUCUGAAAGUAUCGUACGAAUAAGGAUCGGCUAACUCCGUGCCAGCAGCCGCGGUAAUACGUAGGGGGCAAGCGUUAUCCGGAUUUACUGGGUGUAAAGGGAGCGUAGACGGUGUGGCAAGUCUGAUGUGAAAGGCAUGGGCUCAACCUGUGGACUGCAUUGGAAACUGUCAUACUUGAGUGCCGGAGGGGUAAGCGGAAUUCCUAGUGUAGCGGUGAAAUGCGUAGAUAUUAGGAGGAACACCAGUGGCGAAGGCGGCCACCUGGACGGUAACUGACGCUGAGGUGCGAAAGCGUGGGUAGCAAACAGGAUUAGAUACCCUGGUAGUCCACGCUGUAAACGAUGGGUGCUGGGUGCUGGGAUGUAUGUCUCGGUGCCGUAGCUAACGCGAUAAGCACCCCGCCUGGGGAGUACGGUCGCAAGGCUGAAACUCAAAGAAAUUGACGGGGGCCCGCACAAGCGGUGGAGUAUGUGGUUUAAUUCGAAGCAACGCGAAGAACCUUACCAGGUCUUGACAUCCUGCUAACGAAGUAGAGAUACAUUAGGUGCCCUUCGGGGAAAGCAGAGACAGGUGGUGCAUGGUUGUCGUCAGCUCGUGUCGUGAGAUGUUGGGUUAAGUCCCGCAACGAGCGCAACCCCUAUUGUUAGUUGCUACGCAAGAGCACUCUAGCGAGACUGCCGUUGACAAAACGGAGGAAGGUGGGGACGACGUCAAAUCAUCAUGCCCCUUAUGACCUGGGCUACACACGUAAUACAAUGGCGGUCAACAAAGGGAAGCAAAGCUGUGAAGCCGAGCAAAUCUCAAAAAUAACGUCUCAGUUCGGACUGUAGUCUGCAACCCGACUACACGAAGCUGGAAUCGCUAGUAAUCGCAGAUCAGAAUGCUGCGGUGAAUACGUUCCCAGGGUCUUGCACACACCGCCCGUCAAG
Molecule: ribosomal RNA, 1397 nt
Filed under: uncultured bacterium
Lineage: Bacteria
Description: partial 16S ribosomal RNA
Rfam family: Bacterial small subunit ribosomal RNA
Source: RNAcentral